Molecule: non-coding RNA, 2068 nt
Organism: Sus scrofa (pig)
Lineage: Eukaryota; Metazoa; Chordata; Mammalia; Artiodactyla; Suidae
Source: RefSeq, a predicted model, not a curated record
CCUCCGGGCCCGGGAUUAGCGACCUGGGAGCCCGCGUCCCGCGGCCUCGCCGCCACACUUUCCCGGGAGCGGCGGCCACGGCGGCACCAUGAGGAAGUCGUACUCAGGAGUCACGCGGACCUCCAGCGGCCGUCUCCGGAAGCUUGGUGACCCGACUGGCCCAGGUAAGUGGCUGGUUCAGCCUUGGCCCCCUUCGUCUGUGUGGGGCGGGAGGGACUGCCCACUGGCUCAGAAGCGACUCUCCAGGCGCAGGCCGGCCUGGGCAGGUGGGGUGGAGGGGCCCCGGGUUCGGCCUCUCCACCUCGGGGCCCCGGGCCCAGUCUGCCGCUUCUCCUGGCCCGGUGUGUCCGGCCUCCCAGACCUGACCCCAGGGGGGCCAUCCCCAGAGCCUACCUUGUGUCUUGUUGUCACAUGCAGUGGCCAAGCACAGGGGCUGGAGGAUGUUGGCGCCCAGAGGGGGAAGGAGCUGCAUCCCCCAGGCAAUGACAGCAGUGCGUUGACGACAGGCUGGGGGCAGACCCUGGGCAGGACGGGCAGCGGGACGUGGUGGUGACAUAGUGGCUGUUCUAGAAGGGGGUGCCCACCCGGAGCCCACACCCCACCUGCUAGACCAGCUUUGUCCAGGAAAACGUACUGUGUCAGUGGAAGCGUUCGUAUCUGCCCCAUCCAGGCGGGUCGCCCCCCGCCGCAGGUGACUGUUGAGCUCCUGAAGGGACAUCGUUAAGUUUAUUUUGUUCAUUGACUUGCGUAGAGUUAUUUAUUUUUUGUGAAUUUCUACUUAAUAUCUACACAUGGCUGGUGGCUGUGAAAUUGGUUCCAGACCAUGCAGGGUCUCCAGGACCCCAGAAUUUUGUACCCAGAUGUUUCCAGGCCUCCUUCCCAGAUGUCUCUGUUCCCCGGCAGUGGCCCCUGCCAGUGGGCUGGGCAUCCCUAGGCAGCUCUUUGUGGGGAGUGGGGGAGGGUGGGGGUGACGGGAGGUGACGUGUGAUGGCCAGGCUGGACGUCCACAUGAGAGGGGAGGAGGCCCCUGCGGUGCUGGCCGGGCCCGAGGCCUCGGGGCGGUGGGUGAUUCACGGUGGUUGAGGGGGAGCCCCGCCCCCUGCAGACCAGCCUGCACCGACCGCAGGGCUGCCCGGCUGCUGCUGGGCUCCUGCCGCUUUUCUUGGGGCCCCUCGUCCCUGCAGCUGUCUGCCUGUCCCUCUCGCCCCCUGGGCUGGGGCGAGGGGCCCUCAGCAUGAUGGGCAGGGAGGGCCUGCGCCCUGGGAGUGAGGUCUCCGUGCGCGGGCGCCUUGGGCCGCGUGGACACAGCCUCUGCUGGCCUUUGCCUCCCUGUGCUCAGAGGGCCAGUUCUGUGCCAUCAGCACUUGGCGGCUGGGACCACGGAUCCCCUUGGAAGCCUAAGGCAUAAUUUGCCCGAGCCCAGAGCUGCAAGCCGAGAUGUGGGUUUCGCUGGGGCCCGCCUGCUGAUACGCGAACUCCUCGCUCUGGGGAACUCUGCGGGCGCCAGCUCAGACACCCUUUCCUCCUCUUCCUGGCGCCUGAAUGGAAUCCCUGCCUCCCAGAGGUAGGACCUUGGUCCAGCCCCUCUGACCUCACAGAAUCCCCUUCGGAGCCUCUGUCCAUCCCCCAGCCCGCAGCCUGUCCUCUGUCACCCGCUCUGCCUCAUCUCCCACGUCUGCGACCCUGCGCCCGGGUCUCCUCCCCAGAGGACAGAGGCCCACGUCGUGGUGCUUCCUCCUUUAUUUCAGGUUUUCUCGAGGCUGCGGCUGGGACGGGGCCCCCAGAGAGAGAAUUGCAUGUAUCUGCUGGCGUCCCCUGCAGAACCCAGAUCGUAGCUUGCAGCUUCUGGCAUGAGCCGGUCUGUCAGCUCAGACCACACCCACGGUCAGCCCUUUGAGCUGAGCUCAGUCACUUUCCUGUCUUCUUAAACCUCCCCCCCUCAAAAAAACCCCACGAAAACAGAUUCCCUGGUGGCCUAGCAGUUAAGGAUUUGGCGUCGUCACUGAUGUGGCACAGGUUCUAUCUCUAGCCUGGAAAUUUCCGCAUUCUACGUGUGCAGCCAAAAAAA